Molecule: ribosomal RNA, 454 nt
Filed under: Peptostreptococcus anaerobius
Lineage: Bacteria; Bacillati; Bacillota; Clostridia; Peptostreptococcales; Peptostreptococcaceae
Description: bacterial SSU rRNA
Rfam family: Bacterial small subunit ribosomal RNA
Source: RNAcentral
GAUGAACGCUGGCGGCGUGCCUAACACAUGCAAGUCGAGCGCGUCUGAUUUGAUGCUUGCAUUAAUGAAAGAUGAGCGGCGGACGGGUGAGUAACGCGUGGGUAACCUGCCCUAUACACAUGGAUAACAUACUGAAAAGUUUACUAAUACAUGAUAAUAUAUAUUUACGGCAUCGUAGAUAUAUCAAAGUGUUAGCGGUAUAGGAUGGACCCGCGUCUGAUUAGCUAGUUGGUGAGAUAACUGCCCACCAAGGCGACGAUCAGUAGCCGACCUGAGAGGGUGAUCGGCCACAUUGGAACUGAGACACGGUCCAAACUCCUACGGGAGGCAGCAGUGGGGAAUAUUGCACAAUGGGCGCAAGCCUGAUGCAGCAACGCCGCGUGAACGAUGAAGGUCUUCGGAUCGUAAAGUUCUGUUGCAGGGGAAGAUAAUGACGUACCCUGGAGGAGCCCCG